Molecule: ribosomal RNA, 385 nt
Filed under: Oenococcus oeni
Lineage: Bacteria; Bacillati; Bacillota; Bacilli; Lactobacillales; Lactobacillaceae
Description: bacterial SSU rRNA
Rfam family: Bacterial small subunit ribosomal RNA
Source: RNAcentral
GUGAUAAACCGGAGGAAGGUGGGGACGACGUCAGAUCAUCAUGCCCCUUAUGACCUGGGCAACACACGUGCUACAAUGGGAAGUACAACGAGUCGCAAACCGGCGACGGUAAGCUAAUCUCUUAAAACUUCUCUCAGUUCGGACUGGAGUCUGCAACUCGACUCCACGAAGGCGGAAUCGCUAGUAAUCGCGAAUCAGCAUGUCGCGGUGAAUACGUUCCCGGGUCUUGUACACACCGCCCGUCAAAUCAUGGGAGUCGGAAGUACCCAAAGUCGCUUGGCUAACUUUUAGAGGCCGGUGCCUAAGGUAAAAUCGAUGACUGGGAUUAAGUCGUAACAAGGUAGCCGUAGGAGAACCUGCGGCUGGAUCACCUCCUUUCUAAGGA